GACGAACGCUGGCGGCGUGCCUAAUACAUGCAAGUAGAACGCUGAAGGAGGAGCUUGCUCUUCUGGAUGAGUUGCGAACGGGUGAGUAACGCGUAGGUAACCUGCCUGGUAGCGGGGGAUAACUAUUGGAAACGAUAGCUAAUACCGCAUAAGAGUAGAUGUUGCAUGACAUUUGCUUAAAAGGUGCAAUUGCAUCACUACCAGAUGGACCUGCGUUGUAUUAGCUAGUUGGUGAGGUAACGGCUCACCAAGGCAACGAUACAUAGCCGACCUGAGAGGGUGAUCGGCCACACUGGGACUGAGACACGGCCCAGACUCCUACGGGAGGCAGCAGUAGGGAAUCUUCGGCAAUGGACGGAAGUCUGACCGAGCAACGCCGCGUGAGUGAAGAAGGUUUUCGGAUCGUAAAGCUCUGUUGUAAGAGAAGAACGAGUGUGAGAGUGGAAAGUCACACUGUGACGUAUCUACCAGAAAGAC
Molecule: ribosomal RNA, 477 nt
Filed under: Streptococcus mitis
Lineage: Bacteria; Bacillati; Bacillota; Bacilli; Lactobacillales; Streptococcaceae
Description: bacterial SSU rRNA
Rfam family: Bacterial small subunit ribosomal RNA
Source: RNAcentral